UACAGAGGUCUCAAGCGUUGUUCGGAUUCAUUGGGCGUAAAGGGUGCGUAGGUGGCGCUGUAAGUCGGGUGUGAAAUUUCGAGGCUUAACCUCGAAACUGCAUUCGAUACUGCGGUGCUUGAGGACUGGAGAGGAGACUGGAAUUCAUGGUGUAGCAGUGAAAUGCGCAGAUAUCAGGAGGAACACCAAUUGCGAAGGCAGCUCGCUGGGACGUAACUGACGCUGAGACGCGAAAGCGUGGGGAGCAAACAGG
Molecule: ribosomal RNA, 253 nt
Filed under: uncultured bacterium
Lineage: Bacteria
Description: partial 16S ribosomal RNA
Rfam family: Bacterial small subunit ribosomal RNA
Source: RNAcentral